AUACGUAGGAAGCGAGCGUUAUCCGGAAUUACUGGGCGUAAAGCGCGCGUAGGUGGUCUUUCAAGUCGAAUGUGAAAUUUCCCGGCUUAACCGGGAAGGGUCGUUCGAUACUGUUGGACUAGAGAGCGGCAGGGGGAAGCGGAAUUCCCGGUGUAGUAGUGAAAUGCGUAGAUAUCGGGAGGAACACCAGUGGCGAAGGCGGCUUCCUGGGCUGUUUCUGACACUGAGGCGCGAAAGUGUGGGGAGCGAACAGAAUUAGAUACUCUGGUAGUCCACACUGUAAACGAUGGGUACUAGGUAUAGGGAGUAUCGACCCUCUUUGUGCCGAAGCUAACGCUUUAAGUACCCCGCCUGGGGACUACGGCCGCAAGGCUAAAACUCAAAGGAAUUGACGGGG
This 397-nucleotide ribosomal RNA is filed under the name uncultured bacterium. Its description in RNAcentral is "partial 16S ribosomal RNA". It matches the Rfam family "Bacterial small subunit ribosomal RNA", at positions 523 to 918 of the family's 1533-position model. The record is from RNAcentral.